AUCUAGGUGGCUCAGUGGGUAGAGCACUGGAUUUGGAGUCAGGAAGACUAGAGUUCAAAUCUCAUCUAAGGUA
This 73-nucleotide transfer RNA is filed under the name Monodelphis domestica (gray short-tailed opossum). It matches the Rfam family "tRNA". Rfam says of the family: Transfer RNA (tRNA) molecules are approximately 80 nucleotides in length. Their secondary structure includes four short double-helical elements and three loops (D, anti-codon, and T loops). The record is from Rfam by way of RNAcentral. Lineage: Eukaryota; Metazoa; Chordata; Mammalia; Didelphimorphia; Didelphidae.